This 142-nucleotide ribosomal RNA is filed under the name uncultured eukaryote. RNAcentral describes it as "partial 18S ribosomal RNA". It matches the Rfam family "Eukaryotic small subunit ribosomal RNA", at positions 1299 to 1458 of the family's 1831-position model. The record is from RNAcentral.
UGGUGGAGUGAUUUGUCUGGUCAAUUCUGAUAACGAACGAGACUCUAGCCUGCUAAAUAGUGCGCCGAUCGGUUCUGCCGGUCGAGCGGUUACUUCUUAGAGGGACAAGGGCCUCCAAGGCCCACGAGAAUGAGCAAUAACA